RNAcentral lists this long non-coding RNA (457 nucleotides) under Mytilus galloprovincialis (Mediterranean mussel). The record is from RNAcentral. Lineage: Eukaryota; Metazoa; Mollusca; Bivalvia; Mytilida; Mytilidae.
GUUUACGGAGACAUAUGAGACUGCACACAGGUGAAAAACAUGACAAACCUCAUGGCUGUGAUACUUGUGGUAAACGGUUUAGUCAGCUGAGUAGUUUAAAAACUCACAUGAGAACACAUACCGGUUAUAAACCUCAUGAGUGUGAUGUAUGUGGUAGAGGGUUUAGUGUGCAAAGUGGUUUACAGAGUCACAAGAGAACACAUACUGGUUAUAAACCUCAUGAGUGUGAUUUAUGUGAACAGAGGUUUAUUACAGCUAGUAGUUUACAGAAGCACAAGAUAAUACAUACAGGUGAUAAACCUUACGAGUGUGAUUUAUGUGGAAAGAGGUUUAGUCAGCAUAGUAGUUUACAGAAACACAAGAGAAUACAUACAGGUGAUAAACCUCACGAGUGUGAUUUAUGUGGUAAAAAGUUUAGUCAGCAUAGUAGUUUACAGAAACACAAGAGAAUACAUAC